Molecule: non-coding RNA, 102 nt
Filed under: Clostridiales bacterium
Lineage: Bacteria; Bacillati; Bacillota; Clostridia; Eubacteriales
Description: Guanine sequence
Rfam family: Purine riboswitch aptamer
About the family: Riboswitches are metabolite binding domains within certain messenger RNAs that serve as precision sensors for their corresponding targets. Allosteric rearrangement of mRNA structure is mediated by ligand binding, and this results in modulation of gene expression.
Source: RNAcentral
AUUAAAGAAAAGAAUAUGGUUCAUAUAAUCGCAGAGAUAGGGUCUGCAAGUUUCUACCAGACUACCGUAAAUGGUCUGACUAUGAGCAAGUGUGUUUCUAAG